RNAcentral lists this ribosomal RNA (1512 nucleotides) under Triticum aestivum (bread wheat). Its description in RNAcentral is "partial small subunit ribosomal RNA". The record is from RNAcentral. Lineage: Eukaryota; Viridiplantae; Streptophyta; Magnoliopsida; Poales; Poaceae.
AUGGAUGACUGCAUAGACCUCUGUUCUUCAUCAGAAGAGGAAGGAGGAGGAGUCCCUGCAGGGAGAGUCGAGUCAGAGUCUGAUUCUGAAUUUGAUGAAAAUACUGAAGGAGUUGAUUCAGAUUCAGAUUCGGACUUUGAAGGAAAUGGCAAAGGACAUGGAGUAAAUCAUAAUGGGCAUGGGAAAGGAGGAGUUCCUGGAGGGGUAGCCGAGUCAGAGUUUGAUUCAGAAAUCGGAGAGCAUGACAAAGGAAUUGCAAAGAACACGUACAUCGGAUCAAGGUGCAGCGUGAAGAAAAUGUACAACUUGAUCCAUGGAUUAGAUGAAGAGAAGAGAGGUUAUGUGAGGGAGAUUGGUUUUGGGGGCCUGCUUCUCCUGCCAAAGCUCAUGAGGACAAAUCGGCACUUCCUCAUGUGGCUGCUAAGCAAAGUUGAUGAGGAAGCAAGCUCUAUCAUCACAGGUUACCGCAGGGACAUACCUUUCCAUGAUAAAGAUGUGGAAACUGUGCUGGGGAUUCCAUGUGGCGGCGCACCGGUGCAGAGUGAACAACACGGUGUUCCUGAGAAUGUGAUAGCAGCGGUCCGAAAGACUCUCGGAAUAUCCGAAUCGGAGCGCGACAUAGGUCCCGUGGUUGCGAUUGUGAAGAAGAAGGUCAGGGGCCAAAAGAUGACAAAAGCAGAAAUAUCAAAAUUCAAGAUUGCUUUUGUUAUAUGCGCGGCGACGUACCUGUUUGCCCCAACAAUGAAAAAUGACUACUUUGUGACAGAUUACUGGGGCGCGCUUUUAUUGUUUGUGCAGACAUUCUAUUUGGAUAACUUGGAGGUGACUGGUGGAAAUAUCCCACACGACGAAUUUCCCAGGAUACAGUUUUACACGACGGAGGUGAUCAACGCGAUAGUUGAAGACGACACGAGGUCACGUAAGGGAGCAGAACUUGUCACAUAUGGCCGAUUGCUGCCACGUCAUGAAGCACUGGUUUGCUAUCAGAGGAACCCCGCGAACAGGAACAAUGUUGUUGGCACAUCAAAUGUGUUUAACAGAAGCGAAUCUAGGUGCGCCGAGACCGGGUCUACGACCAUAGAUGAGAUUGAAUCGCUAGUUAUGGAUAAGGUUUCAUCCUUCGCAACGGCUUGUGAAUAUGUUUUGACAAGUUUUUCAAGGAAGAAGGAAGAGGAGAACCAGAGGCACCAAGCUGCCUUGACAGACCUCGAGAACCAGUCGCAGCAACAGGUCAAGAAUGAGUCGAGGAAAGUGAGAGAUCAACUGAAAAUACUGUUUGCUGGAAUUAGGCAUCAGGAUGGAGUAAGCCGGAAUAUGAAGGGAAAACGCCCUUUAUAUGGAGAUCCAGCUCCAACUGAGGAUGCUGAUGUUGGUUGCCCUAACUCCGAUAUGCCUCAAGAUAGCCAUUCAUCACCAACUGCGGAGAUACCUGGCCAUGGAUCUGAACUGGCGCGUCUUGGUAUCAAGAGGACCAUGUUUAAUGUUGAAUAUCUGGUGCAUCGCGUAUGUUGA